GCCCUUGUAGCUCAGUUGGUAGAGUACGUCCAUGGUAAGGAUGGGGUCACCGGUUCAAGUCCGGUCAAGGGCU
This 73-nucleotide transfer RNA is filed under the name Spirochaetales bacterium. Its description in RNAcentral is "tRNA-Thr". It matches the Rfam family "tRNA". From Rfam's summary of the family: Transfer RNA (tRNA) molecules are approximately 80 nucleotides in length. The record is from RNAcentral. Lineage: Bacteria; Pseudomonadati; Spirochaetota; Spirochaetia; Spirochaetales.